Molecule: long non-coding RNA, 717 nt
Filed under: Fukomys damarensis (Damara mole-rat)
Lineage: Eukaryota; Metazoa; Chordata; Mammalia; Rodentia; Bathyergidae
Description: lncRNA (ENSFDAG00000024643.1)
Source: RNAcentral
CAAUAGAAAAUUAAAACAUCCUUUCAUCUUUUAAUCACCUGUUAUUCUCUAACAUUUGCAGAAUGUAACUGGAAGCCCAUAGACAAGGGGGUCUGGGAAAUGCAGUUUGUGGAGUUCCGGCUCCCCCAUAAUUCAGCACAGAAGAGUACGAGUGAAGGCUUACAGCACAUGGAGAGAAGUCCUCCUGCAUAUUAAUCCAUGUGGGGGAUGAAGGCAAGGCGUGUGGGAAUACAGUCAUGAGGAAGGUUUAACUUUGGGAGAGUCACCUGAGAGCUCCUGAGGUUCAGUUCAUCCUCCUACUACCUGAGUUCUCCCAAUCCUUGCUUGAAGGCUAUUAAUGACUCCAUGGGAGGAAGGAGCCGAGAAACCUUGGGACCAACUGCUCUGUUCUGGACACUGGAUUACUCGACUGGAGUGUGAGGAGGUCAAAUCCAGAGAUGGAAAAAGUUGGAAGGAGAAAAAGAGAGAGAUAGAAAGUAGAAGGCACAGAGAGAAGAAGCAGAGAAACAUAAAAGAAAAUGAGAAAUAUACAAGUACGUGGACACAAAGAUGUAGGGAAAGUACAGAGACAAAGGCAUUCAGAAAAGGUAGGGGAUUCACAUGGCAGUCACAUAAAGAGCAAAGGAGACACAGAGGAAGAAAAGUCAUAUACACAGAUGCAGAGAGAGAAUGAGGACACACACACACACACACACACACACACACACACACCACAGC